This 375-nucleotide unclassified non-coding RNA is filed under the name uncultured bacterium. RNAcentral's name for it is "contains 16S-23S intergenic spacer region". The record is from RNAcentral.
UCCAGGUUAUCCCUGGCGGUCUCCUGCGAGUUCCCAACUGAAUGAUGGCAAAACAGGGCAAGGGUUGCGCUCGUUGCGGGACUUAACCCAACAUCUCACGACACGAGCUGACGACAGCCAUGCAGCACCUCGACUCUACUCCCUUGCGGGAUAUCCGUGUUUCCACGAACGUUGAAAAGCCGUUCGAGCCCAGGUAAGGUUCUUCGCGUUGCGUCGAAUUGAACCACAUGCUCCACCGCUUGUGCGGGCCCCCGUCAAUUCCUUUGAGUUUCACCGUUGCCGGCGUACUCCCCAGGUGGAUUACUUAUCGCUUGCGCUAAGCCGCUGACUGUGUAUCGCCAACAGCGAGUAAUCAACGUUUACAGUGUGGACUAC